Molecule: ribosomal RNA, 492 nt
Filed under: uncultured bacterium
Lineage: Bacteria
Description: partial 16S ribosomal RNA
Rfam family: Bacterial small subunit ribosomal RNA
Source: RNAcentral
AGUGAACGCUGGCGGUAGACCUAACACAUGCAAGUCGAACGGCAGCACAGUAAGAGCUUGCUCUUACGGGUGGCGAGUGGCGGACGGGUGAGGAAUACAUCGGAAUCUACUUUUUCGUGGGGGAUAACGUAGGGAAACUUACGCUAAUACCGCAUCCGACCUACGGGUGAAAGCAGGGGAUCUUCGGACCUUGCGCGAUUGAAUGAGCCGAUGUCGGAUUAGCUAGUUGGCGGGGUAAAGGCCCACCAAGGCGACGAUCCGUAGCUGGUCUGAGAGGAUGAUCAGCCACACUGGAACUGAGACACGGUCCAGACUCCUAAGGGAGGCAGCAGUGGGGAAUAUUGGACAAUGGGCGCAAGCCUGAUCCAGCCAUACCGCGUGGGUGAAGAAGGCCUUCGGGUUGUAAAGCCCUUUUGUUGGGAAAGAAAAGCAGCAGGUUAAUACCCCGCUGUUCUGACGGUACCCAAAGAAUAAGCACCGGCUAACUUCGUG